This 1110-nucleotide ribosomal RNA is filed under the name uncultured bacterium. Its description in RNAcentral is "bacterial SSU rRNA". It matches the Rfam family "Bacterial small subunit ribosomal RNA", at positions 1 to 1107 of the family's 1533-position model. The record is from RNAcentral.
UGAGUUUGAUCAUGGCUCAGGACGAACGCUGGCGGCGGGCCUUACACAUGCAAGUCGAAGGAUAGGCGGGGAGUUUACUCCCUGUGGAGACUGGCGGAUGGGUGAGUAACGCGUAGGCAACCUGCCUUUAACCCGGGAAUAACGUGCCGAAAGGUGCGCUAAUGCCCGAUGAUUCGCGCGCUCUGCAUGGAGCGUGUGUUAAAGCCUUUCGGGGUGGUUGGAGAUGGGCCUGCGUGCCGUUAGCUAGUUGGUGGGGUAACGGCCUACCAAGGCGAUGAUAGCUAGGGGGUCUGAGAGGAUGAUCCCCCACACUGGGACUGAGACACGGCCCAAACUCCUACGGGAGGCAGCACUGAGGAAUCUUGCGCAAUGGGCGAAAGCCUGACGCACCCACGCCGCGUGCCGGAAGACGGCCCUAUGGGUUGUAAACGGCUUUUGACGGGGAAGAACGGACCGGGUUUUGAUCUGAUGUGACGGCACACGUUGAAUCACCACCGCUAAACUCCGGGCCAGCAGCCCGCGGUAAUAGGAAGGGGCCAAGCGUUGUCCGGAAUCAUUGGGUGUAAAGGGUGCGUAGGCGGGGAGCCUAAGUCUGAGGUGAAAUCUUACCCGCUGAACGGUGAAAUGGCCUGGAAUACUGGGUUUCUUGAGUGUAGAAGAGGUAGGCGGAUUUCAUGGGGGAGCGAGUGAAUUGUUUUUUUUAGUAAGCCCCCCCGCGGGGGGGGGCGGCGGCCUACUGGGCUACUACUGACGCUGAGGCACGAAAGCGUGGGGAGCGAACAGGAUUAGAUACCCUGGUAGUCCACGCCGUAAACGAUGCAUACUAGGCGUUGGCCCCUUGGGGCCGGUGCUGCAGUUAACGCAUUAAGUAUGCCACCUGGGGAGUACGUCGGCAACGAUGAAACUCAAAGGAAUUGACGGGGGCCCGCACAAGCGGUGGAGCAUGUGGCUUAAUUCGAUGCAACGCGAGGAACCUUACCUGGGUUAAAUUCUCGGUGCAACCUCUGGAAACAGGGGGUCCCUUCGGGGCGCCGAGGAAGGUGCUGCAUGGCUGUCGUCAACUCGUGCCGUGAGGUGUUGCCUUAAGUGGCGCAACGAGCGAAACCCCUA